RNAcentral lists this ribosomal RNA (252 nucleotides) under uncultured bacterium. Its description in RNAcentral is "partial 16S ribosomal RNA". It matches the Rfam family "Bacterial small subunit ribosomal RNA", at positions 524 to 776 of the family's 1533-position model. The record is from RNAcentral.
UACGUAGGGGGCAAGCGUUGUCCGGAAUUAUUGGGCGUAAAGCGCGCGCAGGCGGUUCUUUAAGUCUGGUGUCUAAGUGCGGGGCUCAACCCCGUGAUGCACUGGAAACUGGGGAACUUGAGUGCAGAAGAGGAGAGCGGAAUUCCACGUGUAGCGGUGAAAUGCGUAGAGAUGUGGAGGAACACCGGUGGCGAAGGCGGCCUGCUGGGCAGUUGCUGACACUGAGGCGCGACAGCGUGGGGAGCAAACAGG